GUAGAGCAUCCUGCUGGUUGCCGUUGGUACUCCUGUAAUUAGUACAAAAUGAAACAAACAAUAAUCAGAAUACGUUCAUGCAUGCACCUGACACCAACUUAAUAGGUUUUAGAAACUUAUUAUUUCACCUCAAAUAGAGUCAAUAGCUAGACACAUUGGACAUCUGAACUUAAUAGGAAAGAAAAAUAUUAGUCCAUACCCGAGCAAUGUCUCAGUCUUAUCUAGAGCAAUGUCUCAGUUUUGUCUAGUCAAAACAUAUUGUACAUCUGAAUUUUAUAUACUUUUUAUUCCCUGAGACCAUGUAUUAAAUUAUUUGUCUCCCUUCCAGCAAACAGUGUACGUAGAGCAUCCUUCUGGUUGUCCUUGAUACUCCUGUAAUUAAUACAAAAAUUAAACAAACAAUAAUCAUAAUACGUUCAUGCACCUCACAACAACUUAACAUGGUUUAAGUAAAAAAUGAUGAUUUCAUCUCAAAGAAAAUUAAACACUUUGGAAAGAAAAAUAUUAAUAGGAUUAUUAGUUCCUUCAUCAAGAAACAUAAUCACACAUGUGAACCUGUAUGCAUGCUUGUGCGACUGAUCCCGCUGAAAAAUACAUGUAUGUGUAAAUUAAUCACCUUGUCUCCACCACGGCUGCUAAAGCCUCACCAUAUCCCUCGUGGGCAUGCAUGGGGCCAUGUAGUUAAGAUCUAAUUAUCUUCAUCCAGGUUAGUGCUAAUUUCUGUGUCACCUUUGGCCGCCCAGAAUGAUUUAGUGCGCUGCAGAUAAUGGCCAUGGUGUUGUGUCUGCUGGAUCCAUUCUUUCUUGCGGUGUUGCUUGAAGGGUUGGAUGCUACGACACUGGAUGUCGCAGCGAUUACAUAGAAUCCAAAAAAAUAACAGCAGAUUAAAGUGUAAAUCGGAAAGAAAACGAACCUGAUCUAGGUGAGGAAUUUAUUGGAUCUAAUGAACUCCUUAAGCACACUGAAUCCAUAUGCACCAGCUUACUUUGUUUUUCAUUGGCUGGAGAGAGAGAGAUAAUGGAGAUAAGGAACAUGCUCUGGAUGGAUUGGAUCGGUUGUACAUGUGAGAGAGAUAUCCAUUAUGUAGAAUAGGAAGAGUCCGUGAAGGGAGAGAAAGAUGGCGUGCGUAGAUGAAGAGGCCGUGUAGUAUAAAAGUACAUAGAGCUUUUUUUUGUAUCAAGGAGAUAGAGA
Molecule: long non-coding RNA, 1191 nt
Filed under: Hordeum vulgare
Lineage: Eukaryota; Viridiplantae; Streptophyta; Magnoliopsida; Poales; Poaceae
Description: long non-coding RNA (HVUL_LNC017497)
Source: RNAcentral